This 65-nucleotide transfer RNA is filed under the name Halocynthia papillosa. RNAcentral describes it as "transfer RNA-Val". Lineage: Eukaryota; Metazoa; Chordata; Ascidiacea; Stolidobranchia; Pyuridae. The record is from RNAcentral.
CAAUAGGUAGUUUAAGUAAAAUAUUAUUCUUACAAGAUUAAGUUCUUUUUAGGUAAGUCUGUUGA